GGGACUGUGACUAGUGUGACUCCUCCUAAUGGUCUGUGCUUAACGCCUGAUGUUGGGAUUGGGAAUGAACUACUGACUGAACUCAGUGAAAUUUCUGGCGGAACUCAACAACAACAUGGCCGCUCUAAAGUUUCUCACCCCACUUCUUCUGUAGAUGUCAGCUCUAAAUUUGUAAAUAGAGAUCUGAGUGUUAGUUUUGCGGAUAAACUUAAAGCCCUACCGAAAAAUCUACAAACUACAAGUGAUACCACGGGACCUUCACAGACUCCCAAAUCUAGAACCUCCAAAAACAUCAUCGUCUGCACUGGAAACGAGCUGGAGAUUUCAAUGUAAACUUCGUUGGAGAUGACCAUAGAGCGAGGACUGUUGUGGAGCUAUUGAAAUCAUAUGGCCUGUACAUUACCUGCUUUGAGCCAACCAGAGGAAGAUCCUGCCUCGACAACGUUGCUGUUAACUUCCAACCCUCCGACUGUGACACAAGGGUGGUGGAGCUGCAUGGGGAUGAUCACGCAGCCUUGGUAACCUCUCUCAAUGUGGCAAACUGCAGCCUGAUGGAUUGUGAAUACUUACGAGGAUCCAUGAGUCGACAGUUGCUAAAGGGGUCGCCUUUAUAGCCCGUGGGGCAGCUACACACCGGGACGUGGUUCCGUACAUGACAGUCGGAGUUGACACCACACACUCCUGCACAUACAUCUACGCAACGAUAGUCCUUGCAGGCCUUGCUGGCCGGGCAGUCACUGUUAUCUAUAAAUCAUCAACAUAUCGUAAGACAGGGGGUUUCCCCAGUGGCCGGGCAGGCAGGAACACACAGGACGGCCACUGGACACAUAGCACUGGGUGUUCUGUCCACAAGGGUUGGGACUGCAGGGGUUCCCGUCAUAGGACACUUCGUACCUGCCUGUGGAUAAACAUCAUAUGUUAAAAGAGAUCAUUUAUAGAUAUAUCCUGUCCUGGAUAAAAAUGUAUGCAAAAUAAAUAGCUUAGGUUACCUUUUACCAUAAAUCCUUAUAGUAUUCUGAUGGAUAUAGGUUCAAGGGUUAGGUUUCCUGAUUGUCAAAGUUUUCGCCUCCGCUGUUGACUUUGUAUUGUAAACCAAUGGAUUCCAAAGAUAAAUCUACUCUUAUAAAUGAUUGAAAUGUAGUAUAAACUAAAGAUGAAAAAAUAAUUAUGAUAACUGCACAUAAACAUUUUGACAUCGUUUGUUCGAUAUUACCAGCAUUGUUGCGUUGGUUGUUCAUUCAUUGCGCAGAAUGUUGCAACAACCGGGAUCGUGGUCGUGGAAUAAAGCCUCGUCCACACAUGGCGAUUUGUCUGCGGAAACAUGGUCUGCCGACUGUCUCCAGUAUGUUGCUAUAUUGUCUCCAGUAUGUCGGCCGACUGUAGGCAGACAAAUUUCGGUGUUUCUGGAGACAAAAUACAGUGUUUUCUGUUUCCCGUUCGAAUGGGAAACACGGAGACAAGAGACAAAACUUUUGUCUCAAGUCUGCAUGUGUGGACGUGUCUGGAGACAGCAGACUGGAUACAAGCCGAAGGUGUUCAACAUUCAGCCCAUUUAGUUAGACUACAAAGCGGUAAUAUUACGAUUUUUGGGCGGUAAUAAAAGAGCUGGAUUGAGUUUCUUGAAAGUUUUGGAAUUAGUUUUCAAUGAUUUAUAUCAUUAAAUGACAUUUUAUUGAAUUGUUCAUCUCUUCAAGUUUAAAAUCUUAAGACCAACAAAGCCCAGCAAAAUUUCAAAAUCUUUAGAAGUCGACCUCGUGAAGUUACUAAAUCCUCCACCUAAUCUGAAGGUCUGAUAGAAGAUUGCGACCAUCGUACGAACCUUGCUCGAGAAAAUGUAGAGUCCAUCAUAGUCUCUUCCUAGAUUAAUAGGCCCAUGGCUCAGAAAAAUGAAGCCCGCAUAGGAUAUAAUUACGUCCUCCUCGGUCACCAUACCAACAAACAUGGAAACACUGGCUGGCUAGUGUGGACGCAAAACACAUCGGAAACUUGUAUCUGAAACUGUGUUGACCGCGCACAGUCGGCAGACAGUCGGCCGACUCAGUCUCCAUGUGUGGACUAGGCUGGACGCGCCUAAUUACGCGCCCGCGCCGGCCCGACAAUCGAAAACUAACAACUGUCAUGGCUUUUCUUCAAGACUCUUAGUUCAAAAUUACUUUAGAAUUUUUGCUGUAAAAGAUUUUACGUAUUUGAACAGUCGCAAUUGUCUCAUUGCUCAGUAAUACACCCUAAGUGUAUUACACGAUCAAUGGUAUUCAUCCAAUGAUUCAAUUCUCCUUUUCUUUUGCACAAUUUUUUUGACAAACAAUUCCAGGUCUGUGUCCAACAGAGUAGAGGGGGUUUUUUUAGUGAGUAGUCUGUGAUAAAUUCAGGAGCCUCGCACUACAGGCUGGCUACCUGUGUGCGUAAAAGCAAUGUCCCUCCUCUCCCUUGAAAAAACAUAUCAUAGUUUAUUAUAUAUGACGUGAUGAGAAGUACGUUCAACAUUGAAGAAGUGGUAUUUAACAAUGAGGAAAGAUAAAGUUUGAAACAGAAAGAUACAAGUGUUAACAACGGCAAAAGGUAACAAUUUUUCACAAUUUUUGUCUAAAAUAUUUCAUAAAAAAUACAUUCAUGAAAAUAAAGAAAUUUAAGACUACAAGAAAAACAAGGGUUAAUUUUAGGAAGAACUUAUAAAAAAAAUAUGAAGUUCCGUUUAGAGAACUUAUAUGAUAUUGUAAACUGGUAUUAUAAAAUUGUGCUUGUUCCUUUAUGUGUGAAAACACCAUGACCUGGGAACAAAAACGAUUUAUAAUAUUCAAUUGAAAAAAAAACCAUCUUUUCGGAACAGAUUAGGCCUAAAUGAUUUCAGCUCCCAAACAUAUUGUUACAAUGAAAAUAGUUUUAAGUCGAAUAAAUGUCUGGAACAUCCAAAAUAAUUUUGAAAUACUGGGGAUACGAGCUCUUAUUGUACACAGGCUACCAAAAAUAUUCAGAUAACUGGAGUAAUACAUAGGCCUAACAUGCCAGUGCCAACACAUCGGUAUUUUGUUAUCUUAAUGCGACAAAUCACACCAGACUUAAUUGGAAGAAAACAUUUAUAAUUGUAUGAAACUUAGUACUUCAUGCCAAAAUGACAAUGGAAAGUAUUCUCGUUUGCCUUGUUUGAUCAUUUUGUUACUAAGGCAAAAAAAAUAUAUUUCCUUGGCACAAGUAUGGUUGUGUCAUUAAAAUGUAAGCUUUUGACUAAAAAUAUGCUACAUUUCAUUCACCCCCAAACUCAACAGUAUAAUAGUAUAUUGAAACAUUGAAAGCAUAAACAAGUGACUAAAUUAUUUAUGUAUAAGUUGCAUUUCAUGAAAAAGGUGGAUAUAAAAUGUAGACUGUGAAGAUAAGAGCUUUUAUUUCAACGCGGUGUAUCAUCUACAUAUGCUUUUCUAUUUCUAGAUUAUAUAGAAUAUUUGAAUUACCUAGAGCCACAUCAAAUGUCAGGGCUGAAAUAGCAACAGCCACCCAUAUCUGAAACAAACAUAACAUAUUUAUUAAACUACCAAUCGAAUAAGAGUUAUUUAAAAAGCAACAUAAUCACCAGAAAGUACUUUUUCUUAUAACUUAACUUUAUCAAUAGAUAUAAAAUUAUGUAGUUUUAUGAAAUUGCAGUAAGGUUUUUCCAAGGGAAAUGUCUAUUACUUAUUGUACUGAUUGUUAAUAUUAUCAUCGUGAGGAUUCAUGUAUAGUUAUGUAUGUUGUAUUUAUAGGUUUAUUUUUAUACUACAAAUAUUCCAUUCUAAACUGAACACAUUCACUGUGAUUUUUGCCCUGUAAAAUAUUUAGUUAAACACACUGAUAAAAAAAAUUAGUUUUAUGAUUGCUCUCAAAAUAUAAAGCCUUUUAACUGAAUGCUUUCCAAAAAAAUUUAAAAAAUCGUCGGUUUUUAAACAUUUUACUCGUAUCAGUCGUUUGAGCUUCCAUAUCAGGUUUCAAAACGAAUAUCAUCACAAUAAAUAAAAAAUCAGACAUAGUAUUUUGCUCCAGUGGAGAUAUGUUGAUUAUUAAAACCUGUUCCAUGCUUGAGUUACUUUUACCUCCAAUCAUUCAGUUUGUAUAUAGUAAAGUGUAUCAAGCAUUCGUGGUAAAGCAUUCUUAAUAAAUGAAGCAUAUCGUAUUCAUUGGGCCGCAUGAAGUAUUGAGACCUAAAUAUUUCAUCCACUAUGAUAAAAAUUUACUAUUUUAUAUUUUUGAUCUCACAAAUUUGUUUAGAUCUUCCAUUAUAAAGAAUUAUGUUUUUAUAGCACUUGAGAAACUGCGUUAUAGUUGAUUAAUUAUUCUAUUUAAUAUGGACAUUUUCUUUACCAAAGUGUAUAUAGAAUAUGAUAUGCAAAUAGUUUGAUGAAAAUCAUAGAUACAGUACUGUAUGAAAAGCACAGUUAAAUACAUUUUAAAUCAGACAUAUAAAAUAUGUCUACAAGCAAAUAACUGUUUGAGAGUGAAUGUUAAUUGAAUGGCCUUAGAAGUGUUUUGUUUACUUUCACAGUUGAUAUUGCUUAUUCCUAAAAAACUUUUUUAGUAAUUUAGUAAAAUUUAAAAAUUGGGCACCUUUUUAUGGAGUAAAGGGAGAUGGGCUUUCUUCAGGUAUUAGAUCUUACAUAGUUUUUUAGACAUAUUUUCAUAGAACUAUAAUAUUAUUAAGAUUGGUCAUUAGUUCAACUGAGGAUGAGCCUUCGAUUUUAUAAGAGGUUGUUGUUUUCCUUUUGAAUGAGUUCUCUACCACUAAAUCAUUCAAUAAUUAUUGAAAAUAUUGAAACACUCAAACAUAAAAGUAUUUUAAAACCCAUGAGAAAUGAACUUUUAAUAUGUAAUAGUUUUAACUAGAAUGCAGUGAGGCGUAAUAGUCUGGAUUGGUGUACCUAUAUUGAGUACGGUUUAAGAGCUUUCAACAAGCGAGCCUGUGCCACAGAAAUCAUUGUGCUGGAAAUUAUCUGAAGCUAAUUUGUAUAUGAUGGAUGCUAUAGAAGUGGUUUGUGCUUUAAAUGGAAAGAAGAGUUUAACUUGAACUCAAUAAACACACCUACGCCUGGAGCUAAUAUGCAUAUUGGUUGUAAAUUACUUUAAAUAAAUCUAUUUUUACCAGCAUUAAAAAUAUAAAAUAUAGUACAGGUAAAAUUCUUCUAAAAGACUAGUAGAAAACAUAAAAAUUAGUCCGU
Molecule: long non-coding RNA, 5180 nt
Organism: Macrosteles quadrilineatus (aster leafhopper)
Lineage: Eukaryota; Metazoa; Arthropoda; Insecta; Hemiptera; Cicadellidae
Exons: 4
Source: RefSeq, a predicted model, not a curated record